RNAcentral lists this ribosomal RNA (1307 nucleotides) under metagenome. Its description in RNAcentral is "SSU rRNA". It matches the Rfam family "Eukaryotic small subunit ribosomal RNA", at positions 1 to 1342 of the family's 1831-position model. The record is from RNAcentral.
UCUGGUUGAUCCUGCCAGUAGUCAUAUGCUUGUCUCAAAGAUUAAGCCAUGCAUGUCUAAGUAUAAAUAGUAUACAGUGAAACUGCGAAUGGCUCAUUAAAACAGUUAUAGUUUAUUUGAUAAUUGACAAUUACAUGGAUAACCGUGGUAAUUCUAGAGCUAAUACAUGCUUAAACGCCCGACUUUAUGGAAGGGUGGUAUUUAUUAGACUGAAGCCAAUAUUCCUUGUGUCUAUUGCGGUGAUUCAUAAUAACUGAUCGAAUCUCUUUUUGAGAUAAAUCAUUCAAGUUUCUGCCCUAUCAGCUUUCGAUGGUAGUGUAUUGGACUACCAUGGCAGUAACGGGUAACGAAGAAUUAGGGUUCGAUUUCGGAGAGGGAGCAUGAGAAACGGCUACCACAUCUAAGGAAGGCAGCAGGCGCGUAAAUUACCCAAUCCUGACUCAGGGAUGUAGUGACAAGAAAUAGCAAACCGGGAACCUCAUGGUUUCACGGUAUUGCAAUGAGAACAAUUUAAAACCCUUAGCGAGAAUCAAGUGGAGGACAAGUCUGGUGCCAGCACCCGCGGUAAUUCCAGCUCCACUAGCGUAUAUUAAAGUUGUUGCAGUUAAAAGGCUCGUAGUUGAACCUCUGUCUGGGGCUAGUUUUGGCUUUUGUCAGGCUAGUUCUAGGCAUCCGCCUACAAGACUUAGAGGGCAUUCAGUUGUUCACUAGGAGGAGUAGGCAUUUUACUUUGAAAAAAUUAGAGUGUUUAAGGCAGGCAAUCGCCCGCAUAUAUUAGCAUGGAAUAAUAGAAUAGGACACUUUUCCAUUUCGUUGGUUAUUGGAAUCGUGUAAUGAUUAAUAGGGACAGUUGUGGGCAUUUGUAUUUAAUUGUCAGAGGUGAAAUUCUUGGAUUUAUUAAAGACAAACUAACGCGAAAGCAUUUGCCAAGGAUGUUUUCAUUAAUCAAUAACGAAAGUUAGGGGAUCAAAGACGAUCAGAUACCGUCCUAGUCUUAACUAUAAACUAUUCCGACUCAAUGUUUGACUGGCUUAUAUAACCAGUUGAGCGUUGUAUGAGAAAUCAAAGUCUUUAGGUUCUGGGGGGAGUAUGGUUGCAAAGCUGAAACUUAAAGGAAUUGACGGAAGAGCACAACCAGGAGUGGAUUCUGCGGCUUAAUUUGACUCAACACGGGGAAACUUACCAGGUUAAAACAAUAGUGGGAUUGACAGUUUGAGAGCGCUUUCUUGAUUGGUUGGGUGGUGGUGCAUGGCCGUUCUUAGUUGGUGGAGUGAUUUGUCUGCUUAAUUGCGUUAACGAACGAGACC